ACCCGGCUGGUCUAAUGGUAAGAUUCUGUGGGCGAGUGCGGAAAACGCAGCAGAGAUCUAGGUUCAAAUCCUAGGCUGGGUC
Molecule: non-coding RNA, 82 nt
Organism: Diaporthe sp. PMI_573
Lineage: Eukaryota; Fungi; Ascomycota; Sordariomycetes; Diaporthales; Diaporthaceae
Source: the annotation of a GenBank genome assembly